GGGGAAUAUUGCGCAAUGGGGGAAACCCUGACGCAGCAACGCCGCGUGGAGGAAGAAGGUCUUCGGAUUGUAAACUCCUGUCUUCUGGGACGAAAAAAAUGACGGUACCAGAGGAGGAAGCCACGGCUAACUACGUGCCAGCAGCCGCGGUAAUACGUAGGUGGCGGGCGUUGUCCGGAAUUAUUGGGCGUAAAGGGCGCGUAGGCGGCAGCCUAAGUCAGAUGUGAAACCCCGGGGCUUAACUCCGGACGUGCAUUUGAAACUGGGUAGCUAGAGUGCAGGAGAGGAAAGCGGAAUUCCUAGUGUAGCGGUGAAAUGCGUAGAUAUUAGGAGGAAUACCAGUGGCGAAGGCGGCUUUCUGGACUGUAACUGACGCUGAGGCGCGAAAGCGUGGGGAGCAAAC
Molecule: ribosomal RNA, 403 nt
Filed under: uncultured bacterium
Lineage: Bacteria
Description: bacterial SSU rRNA
Rfam family: Bacterial small subunit ribosomal RNA
Source: RNAcentral